AUCCUUUUGUGAUUCAUUAGCAUGAUGACUGGGUUUUCACCUGUUGUGGGUGACGUGCCUCGCUGAAACCUUGUCACCACGCCAGCAUGAUACCCAUCUGACA
This is a small nucleolar RNA of Cynocephalus volans (Philippine flying lemur), 103 nucleotides long. RefSeq annotates it as small nucleolar RNA U13. The record is from RefSeq and is a predicted model, not a curated record. The transcript has a single exon. NCBI's taxonomy places the organism in Eukaryota, Metazoa, Chordata, Mammalia, Dermoptera, Cynocephalidae.